GGUGACAUCAUCAGUGGAGACUCUGAUGAAGUGAUGUUAUUCUACUCCACUUGGAAUUUCUACUGUCUGGCCCAUUAUGGUGAAGAGUAAGGACCAGGAACCCACUCCUCUCCAGGUGUCCAUUAAAGCUCUUGAGAAGCUUGUUCAAGGGUCAGAAGGCAAAUCCAAACCGCCUGUACCUGUCAGAUCUUGCCCUUUUCUGGGUGACCCUGGUUCCUUCCCACAGCCAUUCCAUAGGAAAUGUCUAUGGAUGUAGCAUUUUGUGCGAGCAAUUGGUUUGUACAGAAGUCUGAAAUCAGCAAAACAUCCUGCAGCACUUGCAACACUGCUAUAAGUCAACUCUUGCAAAUGGUAAAAAUAAGAAACAACCAAACACAUGCAGAAUCUUAGCAAAAACCACAAGAAAACAAUCAGCAUUGAACUUACAAGUUAUAAUGUUUUCCUGAAAUAGUGCUGGAGGUGGGGGUGAGGUAGAGAUGUCCAUCCGGCUUCUAAAUAUGUGCUCAACUGUGCAAAGUUAAUAAAAGGUGUUAUCUGGAA
Rhincodon typus (whale shark) is the source of this 540-nucleotide long non-coding RNA. RefSeq lists it as uncharacterized. The record is from RefSeq and is a predicted model, not a curated record. Lineage: Eukaryota; Metazoa; Chordata; Chondrichthyes; Orectolobiformes; Rhincodontidae. The transcript has 3 exons.